This 405-nucleotide ribosomal RNA is filed under the name uncultured bacterium. Its description in RNAcentral is "bacterial SSU rRNA". It matches the Rfam family "Bacterial small subunit ribosomal RNA", at positions 355 to 775 of the family's 1533-position model. The record is from RNAcentral.
UGGGGAAUAUUGGGCAAUGGGGGCAACCCUGACCCAGCGACGCCGCGUGAGGGAAGACGGCCUUCGGGUUGUAAACCUCUUUUGUACGGGAAGAAGGAAGUGACGGUACUGUACGAAUAAGUCCCGGCUAACUACGUGCCAGCAGCCGCGGUAAUACGUAGGGGACGAGCGUUGUCCGGAAUUACUGGGCGUAAAGGGCGCGCAGGCUGUGCUGCAAGUCAGCUGUGAAAUGUCUGGGCUUAACCCGGGCAUGCGGUUGAGACUGCAGUGCUGGAGUGCUGUAGAGGCAAGUGGAAUUCCCAGUGUAGCGGUGAAAUGCGUAGAUAUUGGGAAGAACACCGGUGGCGAAGGCGACUUGCUGGGCAGCAACUGACGCUGAGGCGCGAAAGCCAGGGGAGCAAACGG